Long non-coding RNA from Podarcis raffonei (Aeolian wall lizard), 797 nucleotides. RefSeq lists it as uncharacterized. The transcript is spliced from 2 exons. NCBI's taxonomy places the organism in Eukaryota, Metazoa, Chordata, Lepidosauria, Squamata, Lacertidae. The record is from RefSeq and is a predicted model, not a curated record.
UAAGAGCCCGCCCGUCCCAGAGUCUCAUUGGCUGCAGCCUUGUAGCGCAUCCUCCCUAGGAUAUGAAUACGAAAGCAAUAAAGUCGUCGUUUUAGGAGGGACAAAUCCGAACCUGUCAGUCAAGGGCAUUUUAUACAAAGGACAGAAUUUAGUAAUGAAAACUUCAUGCUCUGGAGGUCGCGUAUUUGAAUGGCCUCACAUAGAGAAGGCUCUGCUCACAGAAAAUCAAAGCACACGGGAGCACCGUUCAGAAUAGCCUUCUUGACAUUAAUACACACACCCUCCUCCUUUCUACGAGUAGGGAGCUCUUUACACUCGAGUAUGUCUUCACACAAGUCAUUGCUGUACUGUACUGUACUAUGGAAUUGGCUAUCACAAGGUAAUAGUUAUGGGCAUCACAUCACCAGGAUUUGACAAAUGCAUGAAAACUGAAGCCAUCAAUAGCUACUGGACAUAGUAUAUGUCUCUUCAUUACAUCCAGUACCUGGCCGUAUGCUCUUGACUGAUACCUGGUGAACACAUGAGAGGGGGGGGGAAACUGACAGCAUGAAUUUGCUACAUCAAUGCAUGCUUACUUUGCAAUUGUUUGGAGGUCUCUGAAGAUGAAAAACAAGCCACUGUGAUGCAAGGGCUUUAGACCUGGACUAGCCAUGAUUUUGGAUUUGGAUACCUGAAGCCCACGGAGUGUAUUUCGUGUCAUAGUUACAAGAUAAAAACCUGUCUUCGCACAAUAAAUUGGUAACACCCCAGAGGGCUGCACAGGAUUUUUAUACUGGAAAAGUACAAACAACAGACAA